GAUCAUGGCUCAGGAUGAACGCUAGCUACAGGCUUAACACAUGCAAGUCGAGGGGCAGCAUGGUCUUAGCUUGCUAAGGCCGAUGGNGACCGGCGCACGGGUGAGUAACACGUAUCCAACCUGCCGUCUAUUCUUGGACAGCCUUCUGAAAGGAAGAUUAAUACAAGAUGGCAUCAUGAGUUCACAUGUUCACAUGAUUAAAGGUAUUCCGGUAGACGAUGGGGA
Molecule: ribosomal RNA, 225 nt
Filed under: uncultured bacterium
Lineage: Bacteria
Description: partial 16S ribosomal RNA
Rfam family: Bacterial small subunit ribosomal RNA
Source: RNAcentral